This 566-nucleotide ribosomal RNA is filed under the name uncultured archaeon. RNAcentral describes it as "bacterial SSU rRNA". It matches the Rfam family "Archaeal small subunit ribosomal RNA", at positions 313 to 879 of the family's 1478-position model. The record is from RNAcentral.
GCGAUUCGCCCUUCGGGGUGCACCAGGCGCGAAAACUUUACAAUGCUGGCAACCGCAAUUAGGGAACCUCUAGUGCCAGGAUACACUUUUGGCUGUCGUGAUGCCUAAAAAGCAUUGCAUACCAAGGGCCGGGCAAGACCGGUGCCAACCGCCGCGGUAACACCGGCGGCUCGAGUGGUAACCGUUAUUGUUGGGUCUAAAGGGUCUGUAGCCGGCCGGAUAAGUCUCUUGGGAAAUCUGGCAGCUUAACUGUUAGGCUUCCAGGAGAUACUGAUUGGCUCGAGGCCGGGAGAGGUGAGAGGUACUUCAGGGGUAGGGGUGAAAUCUUGUAAUCCUUGAAGGACCACCAGUGGCAAAGGCGUCUCACCAGAACGGACCUGACGGCUAGGGACGAAAGCUAGGGGCACGAACCGGAUUAGAUACCCGGGUAGUCCUAGCCGUAAACGAUACUCGCUAGGUGUCGGCCACGGUGCGACCGUGGUCAGUGCCGUACGGAAGCCGUGAAGCGAGCCACCUGGGAAGUACGGCCGCCAGGCUGAUACUUAAAGGAAUUGGCGGGGGAGCAC